AUUUUUUUAUUAAUUUUUAGUU
Molecule: unclassified non-coding RNA, 22 nt
Filed under: Klebsiella pneumoniae subsp. pneumoniae BJ1-GA
Lineage: Bacteria; Pseudomonadati; Pseudomonadota; Gammaproteobacteria; Enterobacterales; Enterobacteriaceae
Description: ctRNA_pT181
Source: RNAcentral